AGAAAUGUUACAAAAUCAAACUCGUAGGAAGUAAUUUGUCCAUUGACAUUUACUACGCCUCCGAAUCUCUUUAUUAAGUACAUUCUCCUUUGGUUCUUUCCAAGGUCGUUUAGACCCUUCACUUGACUAUCCGACAGUUCGGACUUAUGAACCAUAAAUCGACAUGCUUUACUAUUUGUAGCAUAUCCAAUGAACAUACAAUCCAAAGUCUUAGGUCCUAUUUU
This 224-nucleotide long non-coding RNA is filed under the name Solanum tuberosum (potato). RNAcentral describes it as "long non-coding RNA (STUB_LNC007999)". The record is from RNAcentral. Lineage: Eukaryota; Viridiplantae; Streptophyta; Magnoliopsida; Solanales; Solanaceae.